Molecule: ribosomal RNA, 494 nt
Filed under: uncultured bacterium
Lineage: Bacteria
Description: partial 16S ribosomal RNA
Rfam family: Bacterial small subunit ribosomal RNA
Source: RNAcentral
GAUGAACGCUGGCGGCGUGCCUAACACAUGCAAGUCGAACGGAGAGGCGCGUUGCUUUCUGGUGGGUGUGGAUGAGCGGCCGACGGGUGAGCAAGACGUGAGUAACCUGCCCCCUCUUUCUGGAUAACCGCAUGCCAGAGUUGCUACUAGGGGAUAUUUUGGAUCUGUUGCUUGAUGGGUCUGGGACGGAUCUUGUUUCGGUUGGGGAUGGGCUCGCGGCGUAUCAGCUUGUUGGUGGGGUGACGGCCUACCAAGGCGGUGACGAGUAGCCGGCCUGAGAGGGUGGGCGGUCACACUGGGGAUGAGACACGGCCCAGACUCCUACGGGAGGCAGUAGGGGGGAAUACUGCACGGUGGGCGGAAGGCUGAUGCAGCGACGCCGCGUGAGUGAUGGAGGCCUGCUGGUUGAAAACCGCUUUCGGGAGUGAAGCAAGCCUGCCUCGUUUGUGGGCGGCUUGACGGUAGCUGAUCAAGAAGCCACGGCUAACUACGUG